CGCAACACCACCCUCUCCACCAAAUUCUUCUCAAAGUCGUGACACCACUAGGGAUUCAGCUUCAAGAAAUAAUUCCAUAUUUCCUCCUAUUGUCUGCCUCUGAACCGUGCAGCCUUGAGGAAGAACCAAGGUCUUGAAAACAACUCCUCUCCUCUGAUUUCCUAGCCGUGCGUUUGUAUUCGAAAAGGGUGGAGAGCACUAUUUCUGGAAACUUGCUAUUCUAGUGGAGCUCAAAGGAUUGUGUUGUUGCUCCUUGCCCUUUUGGUGUUCCUUGUGUAUCGUCCAGGGGUGCGCACUUUUCGUAAGGUGGUGGACUUUCUGCUGCUGCCCGGUAAAUUAUUGUGACGUGUGAGG
This is a long non-coding RNA of Gastrolobium bilobum, 354 nucleotides long. RefSeq lists it as uncharacterized. Lineage: Eukaryota; Viridiplantae; Streptophyta; Magnoliopsida; Fabales; Fabaceae. The transcript has 3 exons. The record is from RefSeq and is a predicted model, not a curated record.